Molecule: long non-coding RNA, 266 nt
Organism: Schistocerca gregaria
Lineage: Eukaryota; Metazoa; Arthropoda; Insecta; Orthoptera; Acrididae
Exons: 3
Source: RefSeq, a predicted model, not a curated record
AAAAUUUUCAGACCUCUAUCUUAUAUUAGAGUACUAUUGCAAGAAAAAAUUCGCUUUAAAUUGUGUCAUUUCAUUACGCCAGUGCGUCACGGGAAGAAACAUCUGCGUACAGAGAAAACCUAAAAUCUUGUUGCGAGUAUUUAAUUGACAGUUCAGCAGAGAAGUUUUCGUGCUUGUAAAACUGUCAUCGGAGGCCAAACUUGCAAGUGCCGAUCUUCUUAGUCGACGUGAAGGGUCUUUUAGUCCCAAGAACCACUCAAGGGCAC